GGACUACUGGGGUAUCUAAUCCUGUUUGCUCCCCACGCUUUCGUGUCUCAGCGUCAGUACUCGUCCAGUUGGCCGCCUUCGCCACCGGUGUUCCUCUCGAUAUCUACGAAUUUCACCUCUACACCGAGAAUUCCACCAACCUCUCCGGUACUCGAGCUAAGCAGUAUCGAGUGCACUUCCUGGGUUGAGCCCAGGGCUUUCACAUCCGACUUACCUAGCCGCCUACACACGCUUUACGCCCAGUAAUUCCGAACAACGUUUGCACCCUCUGUCUUACCGCGGCUGCUGGCAC
Molecule: ribosomal RNA, 292 nt
Filed under: uncultured bacterium
Lineage: Bacteria
Description: partial 16S ribosomal RNA
Source: RNAcentral